UCAAAGUCGCCGCGUCCUAUGCUCGCCGCCGUCCAUGAGCCGAUUCCGCAGUGCAGAUGAGCCUGAAGAUCGAGGUUGUCCUACUUCAGGGUAGUGAGCUGCAGCAUUUUGGCGCUCAGUUGGCGCUGGAGGUUAUUCAGGCACCAUCCACAAAUUAAGUAAGAUAUAGCUCUCUUCACCGUAAUUUUGUCAAGGGGUCCGCAAUGAAAUGGACAAUUACGCCAAGAUAGGCACAUAAGAAGAUCCUCAAGAUCAGCGAUGGCGAUCGCGACGGU
This is a long non-coding RNA of Lolium rigidum, 275 nucleotides long. RefSeq lists it as uncharacterized. NCBI's taxonomy places the organism in Eukaryota, Viridiplantae, Streptophyta, Magnoliopsida, Poales, Poaceae. The record is from RefSeq and is a predicted model, not a curated record. The transcript has 3 exons.